CAUCUUGUUUCUCUUCAGAUAAUAUAAAUCUUUCAUUUACUAAAGAUUUCCGUGGAGAGGAACAACAAGAGUUUACCCCAUUUUCGGGGGAAUGGCGGCC
This 100-nucleotide small nuclear RNA is filed under the name Cyprinodon variegatus (sheepshead minnow). RNAcentral's name for it is "U5 spliceosomal RNA (ENSCVAG00000006903.1)". It matches the Rfam family "U5 spliceosomal RNA". From Rfam's summary of the family: U5 RNA is a component of both types of known spliceosome. Lineage: Eukaryota; Metazoa; Chordata; Actinopteri; Cyprinodontiformes; Cyprinodontidae. The record is from Rfam by way of RNAcentral.